Molecule: long non-coding RNA, 3387 nt
Organism: Triticum aestivum (bread wheat)
Lineage: Eukaryota; Viridiplantae; Streptophyta; Magnoliopsida; Poales; Poaceae
Exons: 8
Source: RefSeq, a predicted model, not a curated record
GGGGCCGAACCAGUAUAAACUCCCUGCGUCCCUUGUCCGCUUUAACCCCUUUAAGCUAACCCGUCACGAUGGCUCCACGACUAAGUCCUUUCACUAGGACAUCUGCCGUGACAAAACCACGACAGAUAUCAUAUUCUUUUUUUGUAUUACUAAUGUCCAGUCAAUGGAAAAUGCUUUUAUUGCUUUGCCUAGACUUUGUGACAAUUAACUUAUAGUGCGAUCAUUGAUCAUUGAGCUUCUAACACCCUAUUCCGUAAAAUUCUGUUGUAAUAUUUGCUGGAUCAUUGAGUACUUAAUAUUGAUUUUGAGUUUGUUGGAUCAUUCAACUUCUGUGUGUGCUUCGGUUAUCUGAGAAGCACUCACGAUCCUGUGCUUCGUGUUCGCCGUCUGGUUUUGAAUUUGGAUUACGGGGACGGGGAGAGGCCAAAGCAAUGUCAGUUUAUCGUGUUUGUUCAGAUCGGUUCCUCGGUUCCGUCGCUGCAUUGUUCGUCGGCGAUUUCCAGACCUCGAACGCAUGUGCCCUUGUGAUACUCUGGUUUGGCUCGCUGGUCGUUAUGGUUGUUCGUCACAGUUGUUCUUAUGUUGUUGAAUCACCCAUCUUAUAAGCAGAGAUGGGGUGAUUCAUUAUGGUUGUUCUGAUGGUUGCUUAUUUAGUGUUAUUUCCAAUUGGGUUCUUCUUGUCAUGCUUUGCUUAUGUUCCCAAUGUCUGUCUUUCCAUAUAUGGGAAUGCGUUUAGAGGUGCAAACCGUGUAGGCCGUGGUGUGUUUUAUACUAGCUACGGUGUGUUUUAUACUAUCUGAUGUGGAAGGUAUAAAUAUUGAUAUCACUUAUGUGUUAUUAUACUUGAUAUGGUGUGUUUUAUUCAAGUUAUUAACCACAUCUCUUACAAAUUUUCCUUGAGAUACAUAUUUAUAUGCAGGAAUGAUUGUCUUGACGAAUAAUCAUUUAUGCUAACUUGGUAUUGGUAGUUCCUGGUCAUAGGUAACAGACCAGUACUUGUUUAGUGCAGACAACUGACUAUUCUUUUUUCUGAACUUUUUUGUGAUAUGUGUGUUAUGUGGAUAUCAUAUUCCAAUGCUUUUCUAAGUAUUUAAGGUACAGACAUGUGGAUCUGGAAAUGUCACAUUUGCUCUUUAUUGUGUUGCUAAGGACACUGAACGGUUUGGCUGGGCCACUGCACGGCCUGGCUAAUUAGCAGGAAGUGUUGCUCCGGAUCAAAUCUGUAAUGGAAGAGACUAGGAGUAACAUUACAACCGACCAACUUAAAGAAUAUGUAUAGAAGACACCAAAGAGUAGAAAGGUUGUAGUGAUUAGGGAAGCUUGCAGAACUGUAUGAAUUUGAAAAACAAUGGUCGAGAGCAGCACAAAUGCUUAGUGGCAUUGACUUGGAAUCAGGAAUCAAGUAGAAGCAAAGCUUUUGUCUCUCUUUACAUGUCAUUGGAUAUUCUGGGAAAUCUGACCAUCUUCUUAAAAAUCGGGAUGCUUGAUGACACAAACAAAUUAUCCAAGUGUGUCCAGAUUGCAUGACUCUAUUUGGAGGAUGAUGAUGCAGUGAAUGCUGAAGCUUUUAUCAACAGAGCCUCGUUUUUUGUCACAAACAGCAACCAGGAAGUUCUGGACUUACAGUACAAGGUCUGCUAUGAGAGAAUUUUAGAUCGAAAAAGUUGCACUUCAAUACUAUGGUAUCUCUCAAAUUGAGCAACGCCAAAUUGGGGAUGAGUAAGGCUCCAUUCAGUUGUAGAUUUGUUUCUCUCGUGCAAUUUACUUGUUUGUAAUGUUCUGUCUUGUAUGGUUCUUUGUUCCCUUGCUGGUGUAGUGGUGCCUAAUUUCUGUUUUACACCCUUCAAAUAUUUCAAUAUUUUGCUUACUAGAUGUAAUAAAUUACCCUACUUGAUACUCAUGUUUAAGUACUGCAGUGGUUAUUAGCAAGUCGUGUUUGGAACUGACACGACCUCCAUAUUUUAUUCUUAUAGAUCUUGAUGGAACAUUGUUUCUGCAUUUUCUCAGAUAGAUUGAUGAAAAUGCUCUUGAGCAAGCUCUUAGUGCUGCUGUAACAUGCACAAUAUUGUAACUGAUGAGAGGCAACCACUGUUGCCAACUUGAAAUCAGUUUACUCAUUCAAGUUCUAAAAUUUCUUUUUAGCUUUCUAAGUUUACUUCGGUCUUGCAUGUAUUAGGUUUCUCUUUGUGCCCCUAUCUAUGUUUGUUUCUUGUGUGCAAGUGCUCCAUUCUCUGUGUGUGUGACUGUGUGUGACUUGAUGGUGAAUAUGUGUGUGGCUUGACUCUGUGUGUGGUUUGACUUUGUGUGUGUGGCUUGACUCUGUGUGUGUUUGGCUUGACUGUGUGUGAGACUACGUGUGGCUUGAUGUUGAAUAUGUGUGUGGCUUGACUAUGUGUGUGACUGUGUGUGGCUUGACUCUGUGUGAGACUGUGUGUGGCUUGACUGUGUGUGUGACUGUGUGUGGCUUGAUGGUGAAUGUGUGGGGCUUGACUCUAUGUGUGUGUGACUUUGUGAAAAUUGCAUUUGUUUGAUGGUGUGGCUUGUAUGCUUUGCUGAAUGUUUGGUUGUAUAACUUGUGUUUUAUGUCACGACUGAUUGGUUUGCUGUUUGUUGAAUGUGAACAGACCUAUCACUAUUCUUUUUUCUGAACUUUUUUGUGAUAUCAUAUCCUUUUUUGUAUUACUGCUGUCCAGUCACUGGAAUAAUGCUUUUCUCUAAGUUUCUAAGGUACAAACAUUGGAUCCGGACAUGUCACAUGGGCUCUUUAUUGUGUUUCUAAGGACACUGAUGGGUUGGGUUUGCAUGCAACGCAGAUGUGUUGUAUCCAUAACUACCUAUUGGCACUUGAUAUUUGUGCUCAAAAUGCAGUAAGGACCAACAAAAUGGUCUCAUUGCAAGGUCACUCCCUGGACGUAUAGGCAAGCAAUGUCAAGAGAGGUGGCAUAAUCAUCUGAAUCCAGAAUACAGAGAGAUGCUUGGACUACUGAGGAACAUGCACAAAUUAAUGCCCAUCGGGUAUAUGGGAAUAAAUGGGCAGAAAUAGCAAAAGUUGUUCCUAGAAGACAUCGGAACAUUGCAGGAGUGGGGUACUUCCAUUUGUGUAACUUCUAUUUGUUAUCAGUUCUUCUCACCUAUAGCUAAAGUCAAAGACGCUGAAUUAUUGGAGUGGCAAGAUACACCGAAUCUGUUGGGGAUGUUACCACUGGGUGUAAACCGGCCAGGAGAGGCCGGGUUAACCCCAUAAGUAGUUCAUCUGUAUCUGAAGCCCAUGAAGACAGACGGUGACGCCUCAUGAAGGCCCAGGGCCCAAAGCCGGUUUAAGGCCUGUAGACACAAACCGACACUGAUAUGUAAACUUGUGUUGUAAGAUAGAAGUAGCAGAGACCG